Molecule: ribosomal RNA, 549 nt
Filed under: uncultured bacterium
Lineage: Bacteria
Description: bacterial SSU rRNA
Rfam family: Bacterial small subunit ribosomal RNA
Source: RNAcentral
AGUGUUUGAUGAUGGCUCAGAACGAACGUUGGCGGCGUGCUUAACACAUGCAAGUCGAACGAGAAAGAGAUCUUCGGAUCUUGAGUAAAGUGGCGCACGGGUGAGUAACGCGUAGAUAACCUGUCCAGGUGUUUGGGAUAGCCCUUCGAAAGGGGGAUUAAUACCGAAUACGUUGAUUAUGCAUAGGUAUAAUCAAGAAAGGUGGCCUCUAUUUAUAAGCUAUCGCAUUUGGAGGGGUCUGCGUACCAUUAGCUAGUUGGUGGGGUAAUGGCCUACCAAGGCUUCGAUGGUUAGCGGGUCUGAGAGGAUGAUCCGUCACACUGGCACUGAAACACGGGCCAGACUCCUACGGGAGGGAGCAGUGAGGAAUAUUGCGCAAUGGGGGAAACCCUGACGCAGCGACGCCGCGUGAGUGAGGAAGGCCUUCGGGUCGUAAAGCUCUGUCAGAAGGGAAGAAAUGUGUAUAUGUUAAUAGCCUAUGCACUUGACGGUACCUUCAAAGGAAGCACCGGCUAACUCCGUGCCAGCAGCCGCGGUAAUACGGAGGGU